Molecule: ribosomal RNA, 498 nt
Filed under: uncultured bacterium
Lineage: Bacteria
Description: partial 16S ribosomal RNA
Rfam family: Bacterial small subunit ribosomal RNA
Source: RNAcentral
GGAUGAACGCUGGCGGCGUGCCUAAUACAUGCAAGUCGAGCGAACAGACGAGGAGCUUGCUCCUCUGACGUUAGCGGCGGACGGGUGAGUAACACGUGGAUAACCUACCUAUAAGACUGGGAUAACUUCGGGAAACCGGAGCUAAUACCGGAUAAUAUAUUGAACCGCAUGGUUCAAUAGUGAAAGACGGUUUUGCUGUCACUUAUAGAUGGAUCCGCGCCGCAUUAGCUAGUUGGUAAGGUAACGGCUUACCAAGGCAACGAUGCGUAGCCGACCUGAGAGGGUGAUCGGCCACACUGGAACUGAGACACGGUCCAGACUCCUACGGGAGGCAGCAGUAGGGAAUCUUCCGCAAUGGGCGAAAGCCUGACGGAGCAACGCCGCGUGAGUGGUGAAGGUCUUCGGAUCGUAAAACUCUGUUAUUAGGGAAGAACAAAUGUGUAAGUAACUAUGCACGUCUUGACGGUACCUAAUCAGAAAGCCACGGCUAACUACGUG